RNAcentral lists this ribosomal RNA (350 nucleotides) under uncultured Alphaproteobacteria bacterium. Its description in RNAcentral is "bacterial SSU rRNA". It matches the Rfam family "Bacterial small subunit ribosomal RNA", at positions 1 to 387 of the family's 1533-position model. Lineage: Bacteria; Pseudomonadati; Pseudomonadota; Alphaproteobacteria. The record is from RNAcentral.
UAGAGUUUGAUCCUGGCUCAGAACGAACGCUGGCGGCAGGCUUAACACAUGCAAGUCGAGCGCCCCGCAAGGGGAGCGGCAGACGGGUGAGUAACACGUGGGAACGUACCCUUUACUACGGAAUAACGCAGGGAAACUUGUGCUAAUACCGUAUGUGCCCUUCGGGGGAAAGAUUUAUCGGUAAGGGAUCGGCCCGCGUUGGAUUAGCUAGUUGGUGGGGUAAAGGCCUACCAAGGCGACGAUCCAUAGCUGGUCUGAGAGGAUGAUCAGCCACAUUGGGACUGAGACACGGCCCAAACUCCUACGGGAGGCAGCAGUGGGGAAUAUUGGACAAUGGGCGCAAGCCUGAU